RNAcentral lists this ribosomal RNA (275 nucleotides) under uncultured Gemmobacter sp. RNAcentral describes it as "partial 16S ribosomal RNA". It matches the Rfam family "Bacterial small subunit ribosomal RNA", at positions 338 to 630 of the family's 1533-position model. Lineage: Bacteria; Pseudomonadati; Pseudomonadota; Alphaproteobacteria; Rhodobacterales; Paracoccaceae. The record is from RNAcentral.
CCUACGGGGGGCUGCAGUGGGGAAUCUUAGACAAUGGGGGAAACCCUGAUCUAGCCAUGCCGCGUGAUCGAUGAAGGCCUUAGGGUUGUAAAGAUCUUUCAGUGGGGAAGAUAAUGACUGUACCCACAGAAGAAGCCCCGGCUAACUCCGUGCCAGCAGCCGCGGUAAUACGGAGGGGGCUAGCGUUGUUCGGAAUUACUGGGCGUAAAGCGCACGUAGGCGGAACAGAAAGUCAGAGGUGAAAUCCCAGGGCUCAACCUUGGAACUGCCUUUGA